UUUACUAUUUUCUAACCCCCAAAUUAGAAACUUUCAAUCCCUAACCCCACGACCCUCUCAAGUCACGAGUCACCACUCACGAACGGCCUCGUUGGACCUCAGGCGACCGGUUAGGCGAGCAUUCUUCACUGGUUCGAUGCUUCCAUCUCAUAGUCAUCGUCCCUCACCAUCACUCGCCAAGCAGUUAUUAGCGAGAGGCCCAAACCGGUUGGUGGAAACUCUUAUUUGUACUCAAGAUUGGAUCUGUGCUCCUCAUGAACUCAUCCUUAUAGAAUAUGAAAGAAAAAAUGAAAUAUUUGACUUCGGAGCAACACACAAUUAUCAUUGAUGAGACGAACGAAGUUUCGGAGCAAUGAAAUAUAUCUCUUUAGUUG
Hibiscus syriacus is the source of this 374-nucleotide long non-coding RNA. RefSeq lists it as uncharacterized. The record is from RefSeq and is a predicted model, not a curated record. The transcript has 3 exons. Lineage: Eukaryota; Viridiplantae; Streptophyta; Magnoliopsida; Malvales; Malvaceae.